UACGUAGGGCGCAAGCGUUGUCCGGAAUUAUUGGGCGUAAAGAGCUCGUAGGCGGUUUGUUACGUCGGCUGUGAAAACCCGGGGCUCAACCCCGGGCCUGCAGUCGAUACGGGCAAACUAGAGUCCGGUAGGGGAGACUGGAAUACCUGGUGUAGCGGUGAAAUGCGCAGAUAUCAGGUGGAACACCGGUGGCGAAGGCGGGUCUCUGGGCCGGUACUGACGCUGAGGAGCGAAAGCGUGGGGAGCGAACAGG
This 253-nucleotide ribosomal RNA is filed under the name uncultured bacterium. RNAcentral describes it as "partial 16S ribosomal RNA". It matches the Rfam family "Bacterial small subunit ribosomal RNA", at positions 524 to 776 of the family's 1533-position model. The record is from RNAcentral. RNAcentral also lists the same sequence under 1 other name.